AGACUAAUACCGGAUAAUAUUUUGAACCGCAUGGUUCAAAAGUGAAAGACGGUCUUGCUGUAACUUAUAGAUGGAUCCGCGCUGCAUUAGCUAGUUGGUAAGGUAACGGCUUACCAAGGCAACGAUGCAUAGCCGACCUGAGAGGGUGAUCGGCCACACUGGAACUGAGACACGGUCCAG
RNAcentral lists this ribosomal RNA (180 nucleotides) under uncultured Staphylococcus sp. RNAcentral describes it as "partial 16S ribosomal RNA". It matches the Rfam family "Bacterial small subunit ribosomal RNA", at positions 160 to 334 of the family's 1533-position model. The record is from RNAcentral. Lineage: Bacteria; Bacillati; Bacillota; Bacilli; Caryophanales; Staphylococcaceae.